Molecule: long non-coding RNA, 5985 nt
Filed under: Lactuca sativa (garden lettuce)
Lineage: Eukaryota; Viridiplantae; Streptophyta; Magnoliopsida; Asterales; Asteraceae
Description: long non-coding RNA (LSAT_LNC004333)
Source: RNAcentral
ACUGCAUGGAUUAAGGACUGAAUAGACUCGGCGAGUCCUUCGAGUGGACUCGGCGAGUAGCUUGAAGAUGAGGAGGAACUCGACGAGUGGGAUGAACAGCUCGUCGAGUCGGAUGAAGUUAGGCAUGAACUCGGCGAGUUGGAAGAACAACUCGACGAGUUGGUUGAAGAUUGCCUUGGGCUCGGCAAGUCUAUUCUUGGACUCGGCGAGUCAGGUCGCGAAACCCCAAACCCUUCGAGUUGAAACUCGAAUCAGUGAGUCGGGUGGAGACUCAGCGAGUUGGACAGGUCAGGACUCGGGAAUAGUUGACUCGGCGAGUCAUGGACUGACUCGGCGAGUCGAGUCGCGAAUAGAAAGACCCUGAGCAUAUGAACUCGGCGAGUUAUUAGGUGGACUCGGCGAGUAGGGUUGACCUGGAAGGUUGACUUUGACCAGGAUUUUGACCUUGACCAGAGUUGACCUAGUUGACCUUUGGAGGUCAGUUGGACUAAGUGUUAUAUUGACAUUGGUAGCUCGAGGAGCUAGUGGAGCAGCAGUUCGGAGUCAGAGGUCGGGUAGCAGUCAAAAGGAUUAGCAGCAUCAGUUCAGCAGUCUCAGGUGAGUUUCCUUCCAGUAGGAACGGGUCUAAGGCCACAAUGCCGACCCGUUUAGCUAGUAGCAGUUUUCGGAUUUUGAUCUGAUGCAGUAUUUAGUAUGUUUGAUGCCUUCGUGGCUCAGACAGGAAUUAUGUGUUAUGUGUUUCGGGCCACGACCCGAUGUAGUAUGCAGUAUAUGUGUGUUCAUGCUAGUUGAUAUGUAUAUGAUAUGUUCUGUUCCGUUAGCCCCGACUUCGGUCCGAUGCAUGGGACAAAGUCCCAGUUAGUCCGGACGUCGGUCCGAUGCAAGGGGCAAGGCCCCAGUUAGCCCGGACUUUGGUCUGAUGCAUGGGACAAGGUCCCAGUUAGUCCGGACUUCGGUCUGAUGCAGGGGGCAAGGCCCCAGUUAGCCCGGACUUUGGUCUGAUGCAUGGGACAAGGUCCCAGUUAGUCCGGACUUCGGUCUGAUGCAGGGGGCAAGGCCCCAGUUAGCCCGGACUUCGGUCCGAUGCAGGGGACAAGGUCCUAGUUAGUCCGGACUUCGGUCCGAUGCAGGGGGUAAGGCCCCAGUUUGCCCGGACUUCGGUCCGAUGCAGUGGGCAAGGCCCAGUAUGUGCUUAUAUGUUAUUGUUUGGUAUGUGGUAGAUUGGGGAGCUCACUAAGCUUCGUGCUUACAGUUUUUCAGUUUUGGUUUCAGGUACUCAGUUUUCAAAGGAGGAGCUCGGGAAGAUUGCAGUGCACACACCAUAGUCAGUUAACCUGGGAAAGUUUGACUCUGAUAAUGAUAAUAUGUUUUGAAUUAAUACUCGAAAAUUAUGUUAUGACUUAUGAUACGGUUUUUAUAAAUAUAAUUUAGUAAUGUUUUUUUUAAGAAAUUUUUAGUUGUGAUUUUUGGGUCGUUACAAGUUGGUAUCAGAGCCUUGGUUUGAGGGAUUCGGGUGCACUCCCGAGUGUGUCUGAACUCAAACUAAGGAAGUGGUAUAGAGCUUUCAAAAGAAAAACCAUGGUUACAAAAGGAUUUUUAGAAAGAAAACAAUUUUAGAAAAGUAUAAAGAAAAGAGUUUUAGAAAAAGCAAAAAGAGUUUUGAAAAGAGAAAAGGGUGUGGUGCAUGCAAUCAGCCGAGCUCAAGUAAGUACUCCCAAAUUACCCAUACAAGUUAUGUUAUGAUUAUCAGUUCCAGUUUCAGUUUCAGCUUCAGUUUCAGUAGAACAGCAUGCUAGAAUAGGACUAAGGAUCUAGGAUGAUGCCUUAUGUGCCUACUUUAUGUGUUUCAGCUUGAUAAGAAUUUCAUGCUAGUAAUGAGUAGACAGUAGUAGGAUAGCCUGUGUAGGUUAUGCCUGAUAGUAUGAGCUUAGCAUUGUAUGCUAGUACAGUUUCUUGUUAUGAGAAUAGUUUUGCCGGAGUAUGUUUCCUUUAUCCGAAUGUUGCUUGCUUUGUGCUUUGUGGGACUCUGAGUGAUGGGAGUUAGCCAUUAGGUGAAUACGUCACAUCACAUGUGAUCAGGGUUGAAUAAUCUCAGAGUGCUGGAUUUGGCCCUAUUGCGCAGCUCUUGUUUGAGUCCAACCAUUGUAGGGACGAGUCUUUUACUUGAAGGAUUAUUUGAGCCUCGUCACAUGUGAUGGUAUUCAGGUAGUGGCUAAUUGGCAUUACAAGGAGGCCUUCAGCUGCUGAGGACUAUUUGGGUAGAGUCAGAGGUUCACUCGGGCAAGCCUAGGAUGAAAGUAGCAGAGGUUAGUAGAAGAGAAAAGGGGACUUGGUGGAGUUGAGGUAACUCUUGAGGAAAGUACGGAUAGAUGUGGAAGGUAGUAUGGGCCCGUACUAUUGAAAGCAGAGGAUCCGUACUCAAUUCAAGGGGGGCCAAGGCAAAAACCAGGGAACUAGUAGAGUGUGUGAGAGAUUCCGCAGCAGUAGUGUGUAAAUUGACCAGGAAUUGUUAUAUUUUCAGCAUGGUGACAUUGCGCGAGCUACCAGUUAGCAGUUCAGGCGUCGCGGANGCGGAGGGAUUCGGACUUUGGAGUCGGGCCGCUUGAUCAUCAGAUGAGGGAUUUCAUUUCCACUGAGAUCAUGUGCAACAUCAUUGAUUAGACUCCAGUGAUUUUCGGUUCGGUUAGAGAGGCCAUUGUGGAGCUCAUGGACAUUCAUCUUGAGGCCUUUAAGGCUGGGAUAGUUUCAGGACAGAUUGGGGCUCGUCUAGAUCCCGAUUCUUAUGGAGUUUGGGGAUCCAUCAGGGGGGGAGAUCCCAUUUCUAUUUUUUUCCAUUAGGGAACAGGAGUGAGUGGGGCAUCCUGUCUCCAAGAGAGACCUCUGCAUGAUUGGAUAGUUGAGGAAGUUUCGCGAGCCAUUCGCGAGGAUCUGCCCGACAUGGUCGUGAGGAUCACUGAUAGAUUGAUCGAGAGGCUCCAGGAUCAGACAGCUGUUGUUCAGUCGGCGGGCAGGGAGUCGGAAAGGAAGAGGAAAGCGGAUGAGACUCAGGUAGCCUCAGGUUCGGGUAAGAGGCCCAAGGGUUCGGAUUUGAGGACGAGGAACUAUCAGAGCUGCAGUCGAUGCGGGAAGUGCGGAAGGACGCACAUGGGUGUGUGCAGGCAUAGAAGUGGUGGCGAUGCUGGAUGUUUCAAGUGCGGCUAUAUUGGUCAUCUUAGCAGAGAUUGUGUUAUUACCAUCGCCCAGGGACUUGAUCCGUUAUGUUUCCAUUGCAGUUAGAGGGGCCACAAGAAGGCCCACUGUCCAAGUUUGUAUACAGCAGGGCAGGUGCCAGCUCCUGCCCCUGGGACUUCGAGAGCCACCAACGGACAUCAGGGCCGGGCAAGGGCGCCUACGGCUCGGAGCCGAGUUUUCCGGUAGAUUUCAGCAGGGAUUCGAGCAGCACUGAGUGAUGGAGGUAUGUAUCUUUUGCUUUUCUGUCAUCUAUUAUUGUGAUAUUAUUGUUAUGUUGCUGCAUUACCUGCUCGUGGUUGAGUUUUAUGCCAUCUGCAUACCUUGGAAUUCGAAUAGUGAAUUGGAGGUCGUUCCCUCUAGAUCAGGUUAUUUCGGAUUCAGUAUCUGUAGCAUGUAUGUGUAAGAUGCAGUAGUGCUUUACUACUUGCGGAGGGCGUUAGUCGAGUAAUGAUCAGUUAUAUUCUCAGUUGUGAUAGUUCAGAGUUUUUAGUGGAGUAGCUAGCGGUCAGUAAGAAAGUGGGUUGGGGAGGUGCACCCCAAACGCAGAUUCUCGGGAUGUAGUCCCUAAAGCAAUUACAGUUAAGGACCGAAGGGUGCUCAGUCAGAUAGCAGGAAGGGUGCGGAUCUGGUAAGAGUUAGUUGGAGCGCUGGCAAGGGUAAACGUCGGCGGUCAGCAUAUCGCCCUUCUAAUGAAAGGAAGGUUGGAAAUCCUUUCGACCAGUGAGCAGUAAGGAUCUAGUCGAAUCCAAGUGGGGGAGAACCCUUCCAAGUAUACAAGAAUAAGAGCCACGUAGACUCAGAAUGAUUGCGCGGCCUCUGAAAUGAUUGUAGCACAGUGAUCGAUGGAUUGAGGAGUUCAGAUUUGGGAGUUCGAGGACCUUUCCAGCAGUUAGUUCAUGUAAUCGAGAUGGUUAGAAGCUGGUUGAGAAUCCAGGAUUGGAGGACCACCUGUAGAGGCUCAAGUGAGUCGGAAUGAGGAUCCUGAGAACGGUUAGCAAGAGAUGUUUUCGUAUUAGUAGCCAGUGACAGAGUCAGCAUGCAGGAUUGUGUAGAUUCAGGAGUUGGGAGUUUGGAAACUUCCCAACAAUAGCUUCUUGUAUCCGGAUUAGUAGACGGUUGGUUUGGGAACCAAGCCGAAGAGUUCCUCGACGAAGCGCUAAGUAUAUCAAGGAUAUAAGAUGUCGAGGAUGAUGCAGUAUUCAAAGACUGAGGGCUGUUUUUGAGAAAUCAGGAUGAGGAAUCACUAGCGGGACUAGGGAUAGUCAGGAUGUCCUCGGGAUAGUAGUAGUAGUGUUGUAAGUCUGCAGGGGUAGUCGUAGCAUUCACUAGCAGUCAGAUAGUAGUAGUAGUGUUGUAAGUCUGCGGGAGUAGCAGUAGCAUUCACUAGCAGUCAGAUAGUAGUAGUAGUGUUGUAAGUCUACGGGGGUAGCCGUAGCAUUCACUAGCAGUCAGAUAGUAGUAGUAGUGUUGUAAGUCUGCGGGGGUAGCCGUAGCAUUCACUAGCAGUCAGAUAGUAGUAGUAGUGUUGUAAGUCUGCGGGGGUAGCCGUAGCAUUCACUAGCAGUCAGAUAGUAGUAGUAGUAUUGUAAGUCUGCGGGGGUAGCCGUAGCAUUCACUAGCAGCCAGAUAGUAUUAGAGAGUUGUAAGUCCGCGAGCGUAGCCGCAGCCUUUAUCAGAUUGGUAGGUAGCAUGAGCACGUUGUUGGACGCGGGAAAGCAGUAGUACCCUCCAGUUCGGGUGCAGUAGUGACGAUAUGGGAAUCCACAGGUUAAAUUUCAGAUUUCCAAGUAUUUCAUUUAUGGUUAAGUCGGCAAUUUGUCAGUAGAUCGUCACCUCAGUUAUGAGAUCAGAGUAGUAGUGGACCGUUGGGGUUCGGGUAUGUUAAGGGCUACCGUCAGUCUGGGAGCCAUCAUAUUGUUAGUCGUGGAAUUGAUGAUGUCAGGAUGUGACGUAAGGACCCGAUCGGUGGAUCGGGAGGUUGUUAAAGUUGCAGUGUCAGGAUGACUGGUGGAAACUAGUUCCACAGGAAGAUUUCGUUUAGAAGUUGUGGGAAGCAGCCAUUCAGCCAGUUCAGUGAUUCAGCCAGUUCAGUGAUUCAGUCAGUUCAGUGGUUUAGCCAGUUCAGUGAUUCAGUCAGUUGAGUGUUUCAGUCAGUUCAGUGUUUCAUUCAGUUCAGUGUGUUUCAGCCAGUUCAGCAUUUCAGCCAGUUCAGUGUUUCGGGUAGUUUAGUGUUCCAAGCAGUUCAGUAUUGCAGGCAGCUCAGCGUUUCAGAUAGUUCCAAUAUGAGUAGCAGAGUGGAUAGAACAAUUAUAAAUAAUCAAAGAAUCUUGCGGNUGAGGAAUCUUGCGGAGUCGCUGGGAGCGACUAGGAUAUUGCGAUGGNNNNNNNNNNNNNNNNNNNNNNNNNNNNNNNNNNNNNNNNNNNNNNNNNNNNNNNNNNNNNNNNNNNNNNNNNNNNNNNNNNNNNNNNNNNNNNNNNNNNGUGAGUCGGGUGGAGACUCAGCGACUUGGACAGGUCAGGACUCGGGAAUAGUUGACUCGGCGAGUCAAGGACUGACUCGGCGAGUCGAGUCGCGAAUAGAAAGACCCUAAGCAUAUGAACUCUGUGAGUUAUUAGGUGGACUCGGUGAGUAGGGUUGACCUGAAAGGUUGACUUUGACCAGGAUUUUGACCUUGACUAGAGUUGACCUAGUUGACCUUUGGAGGUCAGUUGGACUAAGUGUUAUAUUGACAUUGGUAGCUCGAGGAGCUAGUG